RNAcentral lists this ribosomal RNA (497 nucleotides) under uncultured bacterium. RNAcentral describes it as "partial 16S ribosomal RNA". It matches the Rfam family "Bacterial small subunit ribosomal RNA", at positions 28 to 507 of the family's 1533-position model. The record is from RNAcentral.
GAUGAACGCUGGCGGCGUGCCUAAUACAUGCAAGUCGAGCGAACAGACGAGGAGCUUGCUCCUCUGACGUUAGCGGCGGACGGGUGAGUAACACGUGGAUAACCUACCUAUAAGACUGGGAUAACUUCGGGAAACCGGAGCUAAUACCGGAUAAUAUAUCGAACCGCAUGGUUCAAUAGUGAAAGACGGUUUUGCUGUCACUUAUAGAUGGAUCCGCGCCGCAUUAGCUAGUUGGUAAGGUAACGGCUUACCAAGGCAACGAUGCGUAGCCGACCUGAGAGGGUGAUCGGCCACACUGGAACUGAGACACGGUCCAGACUCCUACGGGAGGCAGCAGUAGGGAAUCUUCCGCAAUGGGCGAAAGCCUGACGGAGCAACGCCGCGUGAGUGAUGAAGGUCUUCGGAUCGUAAAACUCUGUUAUUAGGGAAGAACAAAUGUGUAAGUAACUAUGCACGUCUUGACGGUACCUAAUCAGAAAGCCACGGCUAACUACGUG